GAUGAACGCUGGCGGCGUGCCUAAUACAUGCAAGUCGAGCGAACAGACGAGGAGCUUGCUCCUCUGACGUUAGCGGCGGACGGGUGAGUAACACGUGGAUAACCUACCUAUAAGACUGGGAUAACUUCGGGAAACCGGAGCUAAUACCGGAUAAUAUAUUGAACCGCAUGGUUCAAUAGUGAAAGACGGUUUUGCUGUCACUUAUAGAUGGAUCCGCGCCGCAUUAGCUAGUUGGUAAGGUAACGGCUUACCAAGGCAACGAUGCGUAGCCGACCUGAGAGGGUGAUCGGCCACACUGGGACUGAGACACGGUCCAGACUCCUACGGGAGGCAGCAGUAGGGAAUUUUCCGCAAAGGGCGAAAGCCUGACGGAGCAACGCCGCGUGAGUGAUGAAGGUCUUCGGAUCGUAAAACUCUGUUAUUAGGGAAGAACAAAUGUGUAAGUAACUAUGCACGUCUUGACGGUACCUAAUCAGAAAGCCACGGCUAACUACGUG
RNAcentral lists this ribosomal RNA (497 nucleotides) under uncultured bacterium. Its description in RNAcentral is "partial 16S ribosomal RNA". It matches the Rfam family "Bacterial small subunit ribosomal RNA", at positions 28 to 507 of the family's 1533-position model. The record is from RNAcentral.